This 212-nucleotide long non-coding RNA is filed under the name Hordeum vulgare. RNAcentral's name for it is "long non-coding RNA (HVUL_LNC021547)". The record is from RNAcentral. Lineage: Eukaryota; Viridiplantae; Streptophyta; Magnoliopsida; Poales; Poaceae.
ACCUAGGUGUAGAACCUUCUUUCACUGAACACCAAUUCAAAGCACCAUGCUUGUUGCUUCGAAGAUCACUUGUAGAGCUGGUGCGUCUCGGGACAAUGAGGGACUAGAGGAGUAGGCGACACUAUUUUUCCUAGAAGCGGGCCUACUACUGGUUGGGUCAGACUCUGCUGUGCAUCACAAUUCUUGAUCUUGUUUGGAAUUGAAGAGUGGUC